UACGAAGGGGGCUAGCGUUGUUCGGAUUUACUGGGCGUAAAGGGCACGCAGGCGGCCUGACAAGUCAGGGGUGAAAUCCCGGGGCUCAACCCCGGAACUGCCUUUGAAACUGUCAGGCUAGAGACCGAGAGAGGUGAGUGGAAUUCCUAGUGUAGAGGUGAAAUUCGUAGAUAUUAGGAGGAACACCAGUGGCGAAGGCGGCUCACUGGCUCGGUACUGACGCUCAUGUGCGAAAGCGUGGGGAGCAAACAGG
Molecule: ribosomal RNA, 253 nt
Filed under: uncultured prokaryote
Description: partial 16S ribosomal RNA
Rfam family: Bacterial small subunit ribosomal RNA
Source: RNAcentral